RNAcentral lists this RNase P RNA (386 nucleotides) under Brevundimonas vitis. Its description in RNAcentral is "Brevundimonas sp. GRTSA-9 RNase P RNA component class A". It matches the Rfam family "Bacterial RNase P class A". From Rfam's summary of the family: Ribonuclease P (RNase P) is a ubiquitous endoribonuclease, found in archaea, bacteria and eukarya as well as chloroplasts and mitochondria. Lineage: Bacteria; Pseudomonadati; Pseudomonadota; Alphaproteobacteria; Caulobacterales; Caulobacteraceae. The record is from RNAcentral.
CCAGACGGCCGGGCGGUCGCGGCGUGGACCUUCCGUCCGCGUCGAGGAAAGUCCGGGCUCCACGGUGAAAAGGCGGCGGGUAAUGCCCGCCCGGGGUGACCCGAGGGAUAGCGCCACAGAAAGCAAACCUCCGGCCCUGCGGGACCGGUAAGGGUGAAAGGGUGGGGUAAGAGCCCACCGCGUCGGCGGCAACGUCGGCGGCAUGGCAAGCCCCGCCUGGAGCAAGACCGAAUAGGGAUGUCGCGCGCGGGCUCGCCCGUGCCGGGCUCACCGCCCGAGGCAUCCGGGUAGGUCGCGAGAACCGGUCAGCAAUGGCCGGUCCAGAGGAAUGAUCGUCGCUGCUCUUCGGAGCGGAACAGAACCCGGCUUACAGGCCGUCUGGCAUU